CACUUUAUUCAAACAAAUACAAAUAUAAGCUCUAUGUAAAGUAGUUAAAAUGAAAAGUACUUACCUUUAUAAACUGCCAGAUUGCGUUCUGUCACCUCUGUGUUAAAACAAGCAGUCCCAUUAGCAACUACAGCUGUGACUACCUCUCUAUGACACGGUAAGAAAAAUCCUACACCAUCAGUCUGUAUUAACACUCCAGUUAACGGGCUUGUCUUCUGUGCGAGAGAUGUACAGACAGAUCUAGCUAAAACAAAACGGGCGAGAAGGCGCUAAAGGCGAGAUAGGGCAGAGGAACAGAAUUGUAGCAUCCCCGAUCAAUCCUGUGCAGCCUUCCCUAGUACGCGUCUUCUUCUCCUCUUCUGCAAAACGAAAGGAAGCUCAUUGCAAUGUAAUGCAAGCAGUUGUGCUCUGGCGUUGAUGACUAAGUAGAGUCUGCCCCCUUUUUUUUUAACGUUUCCAGAUGGAAGCCGUUUCUCAUCUGUCACAAGAACCAAGCCAGCACAGAAAUAAUAGCUUGAAUGGUUAAACUGGGUUCAGGAGGCUUCGACCAAUCAGAGUAUGAAGAUGGAACCAGGAACCUCCCCGGCAACCCUGCACUCUUCAGCGGAGAAGCCCGUGACAAAAUCUACAUCUACUCAAAACAUACGUUGGAGAUGGGUGGAUCAAAAAUCACUGGGGAUGAAAACAAAGGAUUUGGGACUUUUUCAGCUCAGCUUAUUAUCUGGACUAUGGGAUUGUUGUUUUCUUCCAAAGACUUCUGUAAACAGCUCUUGUAUAAAUUUCCACAUAAAACACCCAUCUACAACACAGAAAAGGAAUCAUAAUAAACUGUGAUGUAAAUGUUGCUAUAUUUAGCAGAUGAAUGGGAAUGCCCUUUAGUAGCAUGUCAUGUUUAAAUCUCCAUGAAUUGAGUGUUUCCUUAUUUUAACAUGCUUAAAGAAAUAUACAAAACACAAAUUUAAAUACCAUAAUUAUAAAAUCUGUUUCCUAGCUGGUGCUAGCAAAUUACAACAAAAUAAAAUAAUUAAAAAACAGAACACUUCAAUUUGAUUGCAACAUUUUGCAUUGCAGGAGUUUGCUGAGCUUUAUUUACCAUUAGAGGGGGAUUGAAUAAAACAGUAAGUGUUCUUCAUGGAUAUGGCCAUUCUAAUAUAAGUUUCUAAAUAGGUGUUUCUACAGCCAAUCUGUUAGAUUUAGGACAAAAGGAGUUUGAUCCUUUUUUUAUUUUGCUCCUGGUUGGUGAAACCUCAUAUUCAGCUGUGAACUGCUAUUCCUGUCAUAAAGCCAGGGAAUCUCACACAUGAUCCUUCUCUCAUUAGCCAUUUGGCAGAGGAUAUAGUGAACAAUCAAUUACGUCAGAUUAUUAGCCUGUCUAAUAAUUGAAUCAAGCUGUCAGUGGAAUAAUGGAUUCACUGAUCACAGGGCUGCACAAAGCAGUGUUCUGUCUUUCUAUAAAAGACACUGCAAGAUGGCACUGCAAUCAAUAGUUCUUCAGAUUUUAAUCAGAUUCCUAUAGGCACAAAUUAGACAAAAGGUAUAGGCAAUGUCUUGUUCUAAAGCCACUUCCAUUCUGCUGGAGUUCUACAUGUAUGAGCUAUGUAUUAUAUAUUUUGCUUUGGCUGGAAGUACAGGCAAACAUCAAACACUACCACUGUUGUCAUAAAUAACACUGACAGUGACAGUUCAGUAAAGGUAAAAAUGAUGUGCAUUUUUCUCAAAACAAAAGAUUUAGAAUACAAAGAUUAUAUUACAGAACUCAAACUUGAAAAAUGGUUUCUGAGGUCUUUAGCGUAGGUGUAAAUGUCAGUGCUCUUUAAAUUUUUUUUUCAGCUUUUGUUUUGUCUUAUGAAUCAGAAAAGAUGUGGCAUUUUAAACCGUAAACCAGGACUUGUCAAAUUAAUGUCCCAUUUUAUGUAAGUAAUCUUUCUAACACCUUUACAUAGACAUACUGAUAUGGAAGCUAUUUUUCAUAGUAUGAUGAUGUAUUUUAGAUUUUAAAACAGAUUUAAUGUUUCUGAAAUAAUUUGGAUGCAAUUUAUCUAUCCGUCUGUCAUUUAAAUGGAUUGAACCACAAUUAUUUAAUGGAAAAGUGUAAUUAUAAUUUCCAAAUGUAACUCAGCAUCAGCCUGUUUCUUAUGAAGAAGAGAUCAAGCAUCUGAGUGUUAAAGAGCAUUACAAGACCCUUGUAACAUGUCAGUAUUUCAUUAAAAAUGUUUGCCAAACCUUUGGUGUCCAAAGACACAUUAAAAAGUAACUGCAAAUUGCAGGCUGAGAAUGCAAAGUUUGAAAUUGCUUUAUUUGACUAAAGGAUCAAAGAAAGUGGAGUCUGAUAGAAAUAAUCUAGAUAUUGUAUUUUUCAGAGUUUGUAAAGAAAAUCUUCAAAACUGGAAUGGAAGAAAGACAGCUCACUGUCUAAGAGACACUUUCUUAACUCCUAUACCAUUGAUCAGUCAAGCAGAUACCUGAAUAAGAAAAUCCCUAUUUUAUUGAAUUUUGUAAAACUGAGCUGAAUCACUUAUUCAGAUCGCUUAUCAAAAACAAAAUAAUUUAACUCAAUUUUUUUUUUAUCUUUGAACUACCUUCACUGGAGUCUUUGGAAAGCACCAGGGGAAAAAAAAAAAACAAUAGUAGCAAUGACAAAAAGAGCACUGAACAUUUUAAUUCCUUAGCACAAUUUGCAUAUUGUUUAAAUUAACCUGUAUGUUUCAACAUUGCCUCUUUAGAUGAAAUCACUUGGUGACUCACUCCCAAGGCAUUCUGUCAGCUUUAAAAUCAUCAUUAUCCAAUUAUAAUGAAAAAAAAAACAUAUUCUAAAGAAAACUGAUGAAUAAUUCAAUAUAAAAUGUGUUUUUAAGAAAAUCUGAGCAGUAUUUUUGAUACUCUAUUUCCAGCUCUUUUGAAAAAAUCAG
RNAcentral lists this long non-coding RNA (2909 nucleotides) under Lepisosteus oculatus (spotted gar). Its description in RNAcentral is "lncRNA (ENSLOCG00000023013.1)". The record is from RNAcentral. Lineage: Eukaryota; Metazoa; Chordata; Actinopteri; Semionotiformes; Lepisosteidae.